RNAcentral lists this ribosomal RNA (251 nucleotides) under uncultured bacterium. Its description in RNAcentral is "partial 16S ribosomal RNA". It matches the Rfam family "Bacterial small subunit ribosomal RNA", at positions 335 to 601 of the family's 1533-position model. The record is from RNAcentral.
AACCUACGGGAGGCAGCAGUGGGGAAUAUUGCACAAUGGGGGAAACCCUGAUGCAGCAACGCCGCGUGAAGGAAGACGGUUUUCGGAUUGUAAACUUCUUUUCUUAGUGAAGAAGCAAGUGACGGUAGCUAAGGAAUAAGCAUCGGCUAACUACGUGCCAGCAGCCGCGGUAAUACGUAGGAUGCGAGCGUUAUCCGGAAUUACUGGGUGUAAAGGGCGUGUAGCCGGGCUGACAAGUCAGAUGUGAAAUC